UUAAUUAAUCAGGUUAGCCAUGCUAGUUCAUUAAUCAGGUUAGCCAUGCUAGUUCAUUAAUCAGGUUAGCCAUGCUAGUUCAUUAAUCAGGUUAGUCAUGCUAGUUAAUUAAUCAGGUUAGUCAUGCUAGUUAAUUUUGUGCCUUUAUUUAAUCAGGUUAGUCAUUAUGUUGUGCUAUAAGUUUCCAGUUGAAGUGGCUGCAGACUGACCUGUCGUUCACUCCCUGAGCGAUGAAGCACACAGGAUAGUACCCUCCCUCCUCAUCCUCAGUGGGCGUCCAUCUUAGAAGGUACUCUCCUGGAUCAGUGGUGUUCUCUGUGAUACCGGAAGGUCCACUCACCAACAGCUCUGAAACCCUUAAACACACAGGGAGAAAAAAAUACAGUCAUUUUAAUUUUUUAUUAUGAACCCCAUUAGCUGUUGCUGAAGCAGCAGCUACUAUUCCUGGGGUCACACAAAACAUAAAACAUGACAUUAUACGUUACAUUAAUAGACAAGAAAAGCUCAAG
This 509-nucleotide long non-coding RNA is filed under the name Salmo salar (Atlantic salmon). RNAcentral describes it as "lncRNA (ENSSSAG00000105768.1)". Lineage: Eukaryota; Metazoa; Chordata; Actinopteri; Salmoniformes; Salmonidae. The record is from RNAcentral.